This 300-nucleotide unclassified non-coding RNA is filed under the name uncultured Cryptococcus. RNAcentral describes it as "sequence contains 5.8S rRNA gene". The stretch from base 1 to 53 matches the Rfam family "5.8S ribosomal RNA", at positions 102 to 154 of the family's 154-position model. The record is from RNAcentral. Lineage: Eukaryota; Fungi; Basidiomycota; Tremellomycetes.
GAACGCACCUUGCGCCCUCUGGUAUUCCGGAGGGCAUGCCUGUUUGAGUGUCAUGUAGACUCAAUCCCUCGGGUUUCCGAGGAGAUUGGACUUGGGUGUUGCCGCUCUGCCGGCUCGCCUUAAAAGACUUAGCGGGAUAGCACCGUAGUCGGCGUAAUAAGUUAUUUCGCUGAGGACAAUCUUCGGAUUGGCCGAGUUUCUGGGACGUUUGUCCGCUUUCUAAUACAAGUUCUAGCUUGCUAGACAUGACUUUUUUAUUAUCUGGCCUCAAAUCAGGUAGGACUACCCGCUGAACUUAAG